This 252-nucleotide long non-coding RNA is filed under the name Mytilus galloprovincialis (Mediterranean mussel). Lineage: Eukaryota; Metazoa; Mollusca; Bivalvia; Mytilida; Mytilidae. The record is from RNAcentral.
CUACAAAAAAGUCAGCAUGAUCAAAAUUGUUAAAGGACCCCUUAAGGAGUUAUUGCCCUUUAUAGUCAAUAUUGAACAACUUUUCGUCAUUUUUGUAACUUGUACAAAAAUCUUCUUUUCAAAACUAUGGGCCAAAUUUAACCAAACUUGGCCACAAUCAUUACUAGGGUAUCUAUUUAAAAAAAGUGUCAAAUGACCCCGCCUACCAACCAAGAUGGCCGACAUCAGUAAAUACAGUAACAGGUGAGCGAC